Molecule: ribosomal RNA, 349 nt
Filed under: uncultured Anoxybacillus sp.
Lineage: Bacteria; Bacillati; Bacillota; Bacilli; Caryophanales; Anoxybacillaceae
Description: bacterial SSU rRNA
Rfam family: Bacterial small subunit ribosomal RNA
Source: RNAcentral
UGACAGGUGGUGCAUGGUUGUCGUCAGCUCGUGUCGUGAGAUGUUGGGUUAAGUCCCGCGACGAGCGCAACCCUCGACCUUAGUUGCCAGCAUUCAGUUGGGCACUCUAAGGUGACUGCCGGCUAAAAGUCGGAGGAAGGUGGGGAUGACGUCAAAUCAUCAUGCCCCUUAUGACCUGGGCUACACACGUGCUACAAUGGGCGGUACAAAGGGUCGCGAACCCGCGAGGGGGAGCCAAUCCCAAAAAGCCGCUCUCAGUUCGGAUUGCAGGCUGCAACUCGCCUGCAUGAAGCCGGAAUCGCUAGUAAUCGCGGAUCAGCAUGCCGCGGUGAAUACGUUCCCGGGCCUU